RNAcentral lists this ribosomal RNA (489 nucleotides) under uncultured bacterium. RNAcentral's name for it is "partial 16S ribosomal RNA". It matches the Rfam family "Bacterial small subunit ribosomal RNA", at positions 29 to 507 of the family's 1533-position model. The record is from RNAcentral.
AGUGAACGCUGGCGGUAGGCCUAACACAUGCAAGUCGAACGGCAGCACAGGAGAGCUUGCUCUCUGGGUGGCGAGUGGCGGACGGGUGAGGAAUACAUCGGAAUCUACCUUUUCGUGGGGGAUAACGUAGGGAAACUUACGCUAAUACCGCAUACGACCUACGGGUGAAAGUGGGGACCGCAAGGCCUCACGCGAUUAGAUGAGCCGAUGUCCGAUUAGCUAGUUGGCGGGGUAAUGGCCCACCAAGGCGACGAUCGGUAGCUGGUCUGAGAGGAUGAUCAGCCACACUGGAACUGAGACACGGUCCAGACUCCUACGGGAGGCAGCAGUGGGGAAUAUUGGACAAUGGGCGCAAGCCUGAUCCAGCCAUACCGCGUGGGUGAAGAAGGCCUUCGGGUUGUAAAGCCCUUUUGUUGGGAAAGAAAUCCUGUCGAUUAAUACUCGGUGGGGAUGACGGUACCCAAAGAAUAAGCACCGGCUAACUUCGUG